Molecule: long non-coding RNA, 691 nt
Filed under: Heterocephalus glaber (naked mole-rat)
Lineage: Eukaryota; Metazoa; Chordata; Mammalia; Rodentia; Bathyergidae
Description: lncRNA (ENSHGLG00000026501.2)
Source: RNAcentral
GGUGAUCAACACUGAGAUCCUCACAGGCCCCUUUGCUGCAUCUGCUAAAACCUCUUUAAUUCACUCAGUGAAAAUUAUGAUGGAAAAUCCCUGGAACUUCACAAAAUUUCUAUUUUGAAGGUUUGAUUUCUUCCUGUGCUCAGGAUGAGUAGAUGAACCUCAUGCUUUACUUAUUGAAAGUUGAUGCAUGAAGAAAAUAAAUAUCAGAGUUUAGGAUGAGGACAGAUGAAAAGAUAACUACUAUUGGAAUUUACCUGGGGAGUGACAGGAAAUGCUUGCAUAUGUGGUCCAGUCUAGCACUGUAACAGCAGGCUCAUCAGGCUCCCUGCAUCUCCGUACAUAUUGUUCCUUACUGAAGCAAGAGGUGUUUUGCCCUUUGGACCUCCUGUCAUCCAGAGCUCAUAUCCUGGUGCAGGUCUGGACAUGGCUCACCCUCCUCUGAUGCCUGAGAUACCUCACCUUUCAGUGUUUUAUCACUGAGGAGGCUACAUCUGUUAUACAGCUUUCUGUUUACAGAGUGGAAUGUUGAAAUGGGACUAAUUAUCAAAUCCAUCAUCCAUUCUGCUUACCCUUUUUAAAGGUUCAUGAAGUAUGCUGCUGGGAUUUCAAUUGAGAUUGCAUUGAAUCUAUAUAGAAAUGUUUGAAGUAUGGCCAUUUUCAAUAUGUUGAUCCUUCCUACCCUGGAGCAAGG